This 331-nucleotide unclassified non-coding RNA is filed under the name soil metagenome. RNAcentral describes it as "partial contains 5.8S ribosomal RNA, internal transcribed spacer 2, and large subunit ribosomal RNA". The stretch from base 1 to 120 matches the Rfam family "5.8S ribosomal RNA", at positions 35 to 154 of the family's 154-position model. The record is from RNAcentral.
GAUGAAGAACGUAGCGAAAUGCGAUAAGAGAUGUGAAUUGCAGAAUUCAGUGAAUCAUCGAAUCUUUGAACGCACAUUGCGCCCCCUGGUAUUCCGGGGGGCAUGCCUGUUCGAGCGUCAUUUCACCACUCAAGCCUCGCUUGGUAUUGGGCAACGCGGUCCGCCGCGUGCCUCAAAUCGACCGGCUGGGUCUUCUGUCCCCUAAGCGUUGUGGAAACUAUUCGCUAAAGGGUGUUCGGGAGGCUACGCCGUAAAACAACCCCAUUUCUAAGGUUGACCUCGGAUCAGGUAGGGAUACCCGCUGAACUUAAGCAUAUCAAUAAGCGGAGGA